UACGUAGGUGGCAAGCGUUGUCCGGAAUUAUUGGGCGUAAAGCGCGCGCAGGCGGUCCUUUAAGUCUGAUGUGAAAGCCCACGGCUCAACCGUGGAGGGUCAUUGGAAACUGGGGGACUUGAGUGCAGGAGAGAAGAGUGGAAUUCCACGUGUAGCGGUGAAAUGCGUAGAGAUGUGGAGGAACACCAGUGGCGAAGGCGACAUCCUGGACCGGUAUUGACGCUGAGGCGCGAAAGCCAGGGGAGCAAACGGG
Molecule: ribosomal RNA, 253 nt
Filed under: uncultured bacterium
Lineage: Bacteria
Description: partial 16S ribosomal RNA
Rfam family: Bacterial small subunit ribosomal RNA
Source: RNAcentral